GAUGAACGCUGGCGGCGUGCCUAAUACAUGCAAGUCGAACGCAUUGAGAGAAGUGCUUGCACUUUUCAAUUUGAGUGGCGAACGGGUGAGUAACACGUGGGCAACCUACCUGAUAGCGGGGGAUAACGAGUGGAAACAUUCGCUAAUACCGCACAACAAUAGAGAAGGCAUCUUCUUUAUUCAAAAGGCGCUUUCAAGCGUCACUAUCAGAUGGGCCCGCGGUGCAGUAGUUAGUUGGUGGGGUGAAGGCCUACCAAGACGAUGAUGCAUAGCCGAGUUGAGAGACUGAUCGGCCACAUUGGGACUGAGACACGCCCCAAACUCCUACGGGAGGCUGCAGUAGGGAAUCUUCCACAAUGGACGAAAGUCUGAUGGAGCAACGCCGCGUGUGUGAUGAAGGCUUUCGGGUCGUAAAGCACUGUUGUAUGGGAAGAAAUGCUAGGCUAGGAAAUGAGCUUAGUUUGACGGUACCAUACCAGAAAGGGACGGCUAAAUACGUGCCAGCCGCCGCAGUAA
RNAcentral lists this ribosomal RNA (516 nucleotides) under uncultured bacterium. Its description in RNAcentral is "partial 16S ribosomal RNA". It matches the Rfam family "Bacterial small subunit ribosomal RNA", at positions 28 to 523 of the family's 1533-position model. The record is from RNAcentral.